This 197-nucleotide ribosomal RNA is filed under the name Rubia mandersii. RNAcentral's name for it is "5.8S ribosomal RNA". The stretch from base 5 to 160 matches the Rfam family "5.8S ribosomal RNA". From Rfam's summary of the family: 5.8S ribosomal RNA (5.8S rRNA) is a component of the large subunit of the eukaryotic ribosome. It is transcribed by RNA polymerase I as part of the 45S precursor that also contains 18S and 28S rRNA. RNAcentral also lists the same sequence under 1 other name. Lineage: Eukaryota; Viridiplantae; Streptophyta; Magnoliopsida; Gentianales; Rubiaceae. The record is from RNAcentral.
ACACGACUCUCGGCAACGGAUAUCUAGGCUCUCGCAUCGAUGAAGAACGUAGCAAAAUGCGAUACUUGGUGUGAAUUGCAGAAUCCCGUGAAUCAUCGAGUUUUUGAACGCAAGUUGCGCCCGAAGCCAUCCGGCCAAGGGCACGCCUGCCUGGGCGUCACGCAUCUCGUCGCCACCCCCUCCUCCCCGUCGUCCUC